RNAcentral lists this ribosomal RNA (495 nucleotides) under uncultured bacterium. RNAcentral's name for it is "partial 16S ribosomal RNA". It matches the Rfam family "Bacterial small subunit ribosomal RNA", at positions 28 to 507 of the family's 1533-position model. The record is from RNAcentral.
GACGAACGCUGGCGGCGUGCCUAAUACAUGCAAGUAGAACGCUGAAGGAGGAGCUUGCUCUUCUGGAUGGGUUGCGAACGGGUGAGUAACGCGUAGGUAACCUGCCUGGUAGCGGGGGAUAACUAUUGGAAACGAUAGCUAAUACCGCAUAAGAGUAGAUGUUGCAUGACAUUUGCUUAAAAGGUGCAAUUGCAUCACUACCAGAUGGACCUGCGUUGUAUUAGCUAGUUGGUGGGGUAACGGCUCACCAAGGCGACGAUACAUAGCCGACCUGAGAGGGUGAUCGGCCACACUGGGACUGAGACACGGCCCAGACUCCUACGGGAGGCAGCAGUAGGGAAUCUUCGGCAAUGGACGGAAGUCUGACCGAGCAACGCCGCGUGAGUGAAGAAGGUUUUCGGAUCGUAAAGCUCUGUUGUAAGAGAAGAACGAGUGUGAGAGUGGAAAGUUCACACUGUGACGGUAUCUUACCAGAAAGGGACGGCUAACUACGUG